UUGGGUUGGCCAAAAAAGUUUGUUUGGGCUUUUCUGUACUUUCCUACAGAAUAACUCAAACUUUUUAGCCAACCCA
RNAcentral lists this microRNA precursor (76 nucleotides) under Ovis aries (sheep). RNAcentral's name for it is "miRNA (ENSOARG00000024706.1)". Lineage: Eukaryota; Metazoa; Chordata; Mammalia; Artiodactyla; Bovidae. The record is from RNAcentral.